UGGUAGCCCUAAAUAGCCCAGAAACACCAUUCUUUCAGGGCAAUUCUCCCGUUUGGUAGCAGCCCCUCCAAUCGGCCGACCCGGCAUACUCCAAGCGGGUUUCCAGGUUCUACAUACUACUAUCGGCAGAUCUGUGCUAGCACUAUCAGAGGAGGGAGUGGUGAACAUUAUUCCGUUUGAAUUUGCAAAGCUUCAGGGGCCGGCGAAGGCGUUUACCCAAUUUCGAAGUCGGCCGACAAUCCAAUCCGGUGACCACCUAUUUUCAAUUUCGGUAUCAAUGCCGCCAAUUUCAUUCGGGAUGGAGGACCCCCGAGAUAGGAAGAGAAAGGAGAUGGAGGCCGCGGUAGUCAUGAUCGAGGAAGAAGGGAAGAAGGCCAUGUUGUGAGAGAGAGGGAGUGACCAAAGGAGCUUGGAGUCUGGAGGAGGACAAGAUUCUUGUUGAGUUUAUCACAUAGAAUGGACAUGGCACUUGGAGAAAUCUCCCUCAGCUUGUAGGUUUUUUCUUCUUCUUUUUUUUUUAUACCAAUUUUGCCAUUUUAGUUUUUCUGAUGCAAUAGUUUACUGUAUGGUAGUAGCUGAGUUUGUGUUGAAGAGAUGGAAAAUAAUUAAGGCAUUUUGUGCUCUGUCUGUUUUCAUUUGUUAAGCAAAGGUCCAAGAAUUGAUUUUGUUUUGUGUGUGUGUGUGUGUGAUGUUCCUAGUUUGUGAUUGAGGGUUUUAGGAGUUGGAGAUGAAACUUGUUGUGUUCCAUGCUGAUUGUGUUCUUAGAGCAAGGAGGAUGAGGAACUUGUUUGCUGUUACCUCAAUGAUUGUGGGAUAUGCAGCAAGAGAUGAGAUGGGGGAGGCACGGAGCCUUUAUGAUUUGGCCGCUGAGAGGAAUUUUGUGAUGUGGAUUGCUGUUAUAUCUGGUUAUGUGAUGCUGCAGAGAUGUGAGGAUGUUUUAGCUUUGUUUCGUGAGUAUGCAACAGUGGAUCGACAACUCCAGAUGGGGUGAUCCUCGUCAGCAUGCUUGUUGCAUGUGCUGUGCAAGCUGAAGUUGAUCCUGGGAAACAAAUUCAUGGAUACAUGUUAAGGUUUGGGAUUAUGAUUUAUGAUGGAUAAGAAGGUGUGAUGAGGGGUAGUUUAGUCAAGCAAAUUUUGUUUCAGCCAUACUCUAAUUCAACCAAACCAAGGAAACUAGGCUAUAAUUUUUGGUUGGCCUGAACCAAACA
This is a long non-coding RNA of Salvia hispanica, 1208 nucleotides long. RefSeq lists it as uncharacterized. The record is from RefSeq and is a predicted model, not a curated record. Lineage: Eukaryota; Viridiplantae; Streptophyta; Magnoliopsida; Lamiales; Lamiaceae.